RNAcentral lists this ribosomal RNA (703 nucleotides) under Pseudomonadota bacterium. RNAcentral describes it as "bacterial SSU rRNA". It matches the Rfam family "Bacterial small subunit ribosomal RNA", at positions 28 to 728 of the family's 1533-position model. Lineage: Bacteria; Pseudomonadati; Pseudomonadota. The record is from RNAcentral.
AUUGAACGCUGGCGGCAUGCUUUACACAUGCAAGUCGAACGGCAGCACGGGAGCAAUCCUGGUGGCGAGUGGCGAACGGGUGAGUAAUAUAUCGGAACGUGCCUUAUAGUGGGGGAUAACGCAGCGAAAGUUGCGGUAAUACCGCAUACGCCCUGAGGGGGAAAGCGGGGGAUCGAAAGACCUCGCGCUACUAGAGCGGCCGAUAUCUGAUUAGCUAGUUGGUGAGGUAAAGGCUCACCAAGGCUUCGAUCAGUAGCUGGUCUGAGAGGACGAUCAGCCACACUGGGACUGAGACACGGCCCAGACUCCUACGGGAGGCAGCAGUGGGGAAUUUUGGACAAUGGGGGCAACCCUGAUCCAGCAAUGCCGCGUGAGUGAAGAAGGCCUUCGGGUUGUAAAGCUCUUUUGUCAGGGAAGAAACAGCAGCUCUAACACAGCUGUGAAUGACGGUACCUGAAGAAUAAGCACCGGCUAACUACGUGCCAGCAGCCGCGGUAAUACGUAGGGUGCAAGCGUUAAUCGGAAUUACUGGGCGUAAAGCGUGCGCAGGCGGUUAUACAAGACAGGCGUGAAAUCCCCGGGCUUAACCUGGGAAUUGCGUCUGUGACUGUAUGGCUAGAGUGUGUCAGAGGGGGGUAGAAUUCCACGUGUAGCAGUGAAAUGCGUAGAUAUGUGGAGGAAUACCAAUGGCGAAGGCAGCCCC